ACGUUGUUGUUUACUACGGUACACAUAACCUGCGUUUUAUUUAAUUUUUAAUUUUAAUUUUUGACAAUAAAAUAUGUGUGAUAGUGAUAACUCAGAAGAUUAAAGUGAUCAACCUUGUGCAAAGAAAGUGAAACUACACUAUGGCAUAGCACCAAGCCAUCACGAAGUACAUCGUAUUUUUCAAGUGUCCAUAAAUUUCCCAACAAUCAUCACAGGGAUCACAACAUAUUAUUAUUGAAACUGGACGCCACCCUGAUCAGUUAAACACAAGGCAUACUAUGAAUGUUGUAGUAAACAAUGGUAAAAGAGAACGUCAAAAACAAUACAGGGAGCGGAACAGAGACAAAUUAAAACAUCGUGAAGCGGAAACAAGAAAGCGUCUACAAUCUUCACAAAGCAUUAUCGGACCGUCUAGCUCUUCAAACUCAAAUAUAAUGGAAGUAAAUAAUGAAGAACCAGUAACUGCUAUUUCAUCCACUCUUCAAAAUAGAAGAGACUGUCAAAAAAGAUACAGGGAAAAGAACAGAGACAAAUUAAAACGUCGUGAAGCGGAAAGAAGAAAGCGUCUACAAUCUUCACAAAGCAUUAUCGGACCGUCUACCUCUUCAAACUUAAAUAUAAUGGAAGUAAAUAAUGAAGAACCAGUAACUGCUAUUUCAUCUACUCUUCAAAAUAGGAGAGACUGUCAAAAAAGAUACAGGGAAAAGAACAGAGACAAAUUGAAACAUUGUGAAGCGGAAAGAAGAAAGCGUCUACAAUCUUCACAAAGCGUUAUCGGACCGUCUACCUCUUCAAACUCAAAUAUAAUGGAAGUAAAUAAUGAAGAAUCAGUAACUGCUAUUUCAUCUACUCUUCAAAAUAAGAGAGACUAUCAAAAAAGAUACAGGGAAAAGAACAGAGACAAAUUGAAACAUCGUGAAGCGGAAAGAAGAAAGCGUAUACAAUCUUCACAAAGCAUUAUCGGACCGUCCACCUCUUCAAACUCAAAUAUAAUGGAAGUAAAUAAUGAAGAAUCAGUAACUGCUAUUUCAUCUACUCUUCAAAAGAGAAGAGACUGUCAAAAAAGAUACAGGGAAAAGAACAGAGAAAAAUUGAGUCAGCGUGAAGCGGAAAGAAGGAGACGUCUACAGAAUGCAGAAAGUAUUAUAGAAUUACAUACUUCACCAAAUAUAGGAAAUAGAGAAAUAAUUACAGAACCAAUAAUUAUAAUAGAGGAAGUAAGUACAAAUUCUCGAAAUUUAACUGGUUUGGGCGAAAUGGAGCAUGAAGUGUUUGACAUAUCUCAGCAAAAUUCAAGUAACCUAUCAAGCUUAAAUAUUGCGGCAAUUCCGAAUAACUACAGUCAAUUUAGUUACCAUAAAACAGCUCAUGAAUAUUUCAUCGACAACUUCAAAAAUAAUGAAUUUGGGCAUGCUUGUUCACUUCAUUGUAUUGCAAAAUUUAAACGACAAAAUGUUAGAGACGCUGGAGUGGCCAUCUAUAAAAACAACAACAUUUCACAUGUUACUACACUCAACAUGGAUCUAGCAAUUCAAAAUACUACAGAAGUUCAUGUUUCCCAAACAUCUAUUGGUGAUAUUUGUGCUUCACAUGUCAAACUAGAAGAAGGAAGUGAACUAAUUAUGAUCGUAGUAUACAUUUCACCUAAUAACAAAAUGGAUCAUAUAAUUUCAUUUUUACAUGAAAGGUUAUUUCCUUAUAGUCAAAGAGGUUCAACAAUUUUUAAAACGAAUAAACAUAAACUACCAAUAAUUUUAGCUGGAGACUUUAAUGUAAAUUUUACAAGAGCUGAAUCAAUGCCAUUAAUUACAUUUCUUCAAAAAGAAUUUCAAUUGCAAAUCAACAACAAUCCAAGAGAAUCUACUACCAAAUAUGGAACAACAAUAGAUGCUGUAUUUGUGAGAUAUCUUGAUGAUGUUUCAUCCAGUACUUUUGUAACGUACUUUAGUUAUCAUCGACCAAUCGUCACAGCAAUACCGGCAGAGGAAACAUCGAAUAUAACUAUUACUGAAGUCACAGAUGAAAAUAUUUAAAUUGUGGCCACUUGGUAUUAAUAUCGAAUUUUUAUAUCACAUGUAAAUAAAUGUUUAUUAAAUAAAGUUACCAUUUUUUGUAAGAAA
Molecule: long non-coding RNA, 2120 nt
Organism: Diachasmimorpha longicaudata
Lineage: Eukaryota; Metazoa; Arthropoda; Insecta; Hymenoptera; Braconidae
Exons: 3
Source: RefSeq, a predicted model, not a curated record